RNAcentral lists this ribosomal RNA (253 nucleotides) under uncultured bacterium. Its description in RNAcentral is "partial 16S ribosomal RNA". It matches the Rfam family "Bacterial small subunit ribosomal RNA", at positions 524 to 776 of the family's 1533-position model. The record is from RNAcentral.
UACGAAGGGGGCUAGCGUUGCUCGGAAUUACUGGGCGUAAAGGGCGCGUAGGCGGCUUGGCGAGUCAGGCGUGAAAUUCCUGGGCUUAACCUGGGGACUGCGCUUGAUACUGCUGGGCUUGAGGCCGAGAGAGGGUGGUGGAAUUCCCAGUGUAGAGGUGAAAUUCGUAGAUAUUGGGAAGAACACCGGUGGCGAAGGCGACCACCUGGCUCGGUACUGACGCUGAGGCGCGACAGCGUGGGGAGCAAACAGG